GAAAGUUGUUUCCGAUUUAGCAUUGGAUUCGUCUGCUCCCGAUGAAGCUCAGAGCAAAAAUGCUCAUAAAAUGGAACUUAAAAAUAAGCCGAGGGAAGAGGAGCGUCGCCAUAAGGAGGAGGAAAAGGCAGCCAAACAAGCAGCAGCCAA
Long non-coding RNA from Hibiscus syriacus, 150 nucleotides. RefSeq lists it as uncharacterized. The transcript is spliced from 3 exons. The record is from RefSeq and is a predicted model, not a curated record. Lineage: Eukaryota; Viridiplantae; Streptophyta; Magnoliopsida; Malvales; Malvaceae.